AACUAACGCUGGCGGCGUGCCUAACACAUGCAAGUCGUACGAGAAAGCCGGCUUCGGCUGGUGAGUAAAGUGGCGCACGGGUGAGUAACGCGUGGAUAAUCUGCCCUUAAGUGUGGAAUAACGUACCGAAAGGUGCGCUAAUACCGCAUAAUGCCUGGCAACACAAGUUGUCCGGCCAAAGAAGGCCUCUGUUUACAAGCUUUCGCUUCAGGAUGAGUCCGCGUAACAUUAGCUGGUUGGUAAGGUAGCGGCUUACCAAGGCUAUGAUGUUUAGGGGUCCUGAGAGGGUGGUCCCCCACACUGGUACUGAGACACGGACCAGACUCCUACGGGAGGCAGCAGUGAGGAAUAUUGGUCAAUGGGCGCAAGCCUGAACCAGCCAUCCCGCGUGCAGGAAGACGGCCCUAUGGGUUGUAAACUGCUUUUCCAGGGAGAGAAACUUACGCACGUGUUGCGUGACUGACGGUACCCUGGGAAUAAGCAUCGGCUAACUCCGUGCCAGCACG
Molecule: ribosomal RNA, 506 nt
Filed under: uncultured bacterium
Lineage: Bacteria
Description: bacterial SSU rRNA
Rfam family: Bacterial small subunit ribosomal RNA
Source: RNAcentral